Molecule: ribosomal RNA, 407 nt
Filed under: uncultured bacterium
Lineage: Bacteria
Description: partial 16S ribosomal RNA
Rfam family: Bacterial small subunit ribosomal RNA
Source: RNAcentral
AUUGAACGCUGGCGGCAGGCCUAACACAUGCAAGUCGAGCGGUGCGGCGGACGGGUGAGUAAUGCCUAGGAAUCUGCCUGGUAGUGGGGGAUAACGUCCGGAAAGGUGCCCACAUCCCGCAUACUCUCAGAUGAGCCUAGGUCGGCUUAGCUAGUUGGUGGGGUAAAGGCGUACCAAGGCGACGAUCCGUAACUGGUCUGAGAGGAUGAUCAGUCACACUGGAACUGAGACACGGGCCAGACUCCUACGGGAGGCAGCAGUGGGGAAUAUUGGACAAUGGGCGAAAGCCGGAUCCAGCCAUGCCGCGUGUGUGAAGAAGGUCUUCGGAUUGUAAAGCACUUUAAGUUGGGAGGCGUUACCAACAGAAUAAGCACCGGCUAACUUCGUGCCAGCAGCCGCGGUAAUUC